GAUGAACGCUGGCGGCGUGCUUAACACAUGCAAGUCGAACGGGAAUGCCACGCUGAUGCGAUUUCGGUCAAAUCAUGUGGCAUUCGAGUGGCGGACGGGUGAGUAACGCGUGGGUAACCUGCCUUACACAGGGGGAUAACACCUGGAAACAGGUGCUAAUACCGCAUAAGCGCACAGGGCCGCAUGGCCCGGUGUGAAAAACUCCGGUGGUGUAAGAGGGACCCGCGUCUGAUUAGCUUGUUGGCGGGGUAGGGGCCCACCAAGGCGACGAUCAGUAGCCGGCCUGAGAGGGUGGACGGCCACAUUGGGACUGAGACACGGCCCAA
This 326-nucleotide ribosomal RNA is filed under the name uncultured bacterium. RNAcentral describes it as "bacterial SSU rRNA". It matches the Rfam family "Bacterial small subunit ribosomal RNA", at positions 28 to 334 of the family's 1533-position model. The record is from RNAcentral.